GUAACUCCUCAAAUUCUGUGGGAUUGGAUUGGGGUGAGUUCCAUGACACUCAGUAAAGAAAUCAAUAUUUAAACCAUGCUAUCAAAGUUUCAAGAGUUGCAUUUUAAUGUUAAAAGUAAGCAAUCUCAUACCACUUUAAAUAAAUUAACCUUACUUUCAGAGAUCGUCAGAUAUCACCAAUGUUGGGAAUUUCAAAAAAUCCUUUUUAAUUUAGUUACGAAGAUCAUUUAAAAUACAUAUCCAAAC
This 246-nucleotide long non-coding RNA is filed under the name Carica papaya (papaya). RNAcentral's name for it is "long non-coding RNA (CPAP_LNC011020)". The record is from RNAcentral. Lineage: Eukaryota; Viridiplantae; Streptophyta; Magnoliopsida; Brassicales; Caricaceae.